Molecule: unclassified non-coding RNA, 236 nt
Filed under: Hevea brasiliensis (rubber tree)
Lineage: Eukaryota; Viridiplantae; Streptophyta; Magnoliopsida; Malpighiales; Euphorbiaceae
Source: RNAcentral
UGUGGGUAUUCUUCGCCUACGCAAGCGGAAAUCAUCAGCGAUCUUAAACUCUCAAUUUCUGAGUUCUCUCUGUUUGGAUCUUUAUCGAAUGUUGGCGCUAUGGUUGGAGCUAUUGCUAGUGGUCAAAUUGCAGAGUACAUUGGCCGCAAGGGGUCGCUGAUGAUUGCCGCGAUCCCUAAUAUAAUUGGAUGGUUAUGCAUAUCAUUUGCAAAAGAUUCAUCAUUUUUAUUCAUGGG